AUGGCGACCGGCGCACGGGUGAGUAACACGUAUCCAGCCUGCCGAUAACUCGGGGAUAGCCUUUCGAAAGAAAGAUUAAUACCCGAUGGUAUAAUCAGACCGCAUGGUUUGAUUAUUAAAGAAUUUCGGUUAUCGAUGGGGAUGCGUUCCAUUAGGCAGUUGGUGAGGUAACGGCUCACCAAACCUUCGAUGGAUAGGGGUCCUGAGAGGAAGGUCCCCCACAUUGGAACUGAGACACGGUCCAA
Molecule: ribosomal RNA, 245 nt
Filed under: uncultured bacterium
Lineage: Bacteria
Description: partial 16S ribosomal RNA
Rfam family: Bacterial small subunit ribosomal RNA
Source: RNAcentral